AGAGUUUGAUCCUGGCUCAGGACGAACGCUGGCGGCGCGCCUAACACAUGCAAGUCGAACGAGUGAGAGAGAGCUUACUUUCUCGAGCGAGUGGCGAACGGGUGAGUAACGCGUGAGGAACCUGCCUCAAAGAGGGGGGACAACAGUUGGAAACGACUGCUAAUACCGCAUAAGCCCACAGGUCGGCAUCGACCAGAGGGAAAAGGAGCAAUCCGCUUUGAGAUGGCCUCGCGUCCGAUUAGCUAGUUGGUGAGGUAAUGGCCCACCAAGGCGACGAUUGGUAGCCGGACUGAGAGGUUGAACGGCCACAUUGGGACUGAGACACGGCCCAGACUCCUACGGGAGGCAGCAGUGGGGGAUAUUGCACAAUGGGGGAAACCCUGAUGCAGCGACGCCGCGUGGAGGAAGAAGGUUUUCGGAUUGUAAACUCCUGUCGUUAGGGACGAUAAUGACGGUACCUAACAAGAAAGCACCGGCUAACUACGUGCCAGCAGCCGCGGUAAAACGUAGGGUGCAAGCGUUGUCCGGAAUUACUGGGUGUAAAGGGAGCGCAGGCGGACCGGCAAGUUGGAAGUGAAAACUAUGGGCUCAACCCAUAAAUUGCUUUCAAAACUGCUGGCCUUGAGUAGUGCAGAGGUAGGUGGAAUUCCCGGUGUAGCGGUGGAAUGCGUAGAUAUCGGGAGGAACACCAGUGGCGAAGGCGACCUACUGGGCACCAACUGACGCUGAGGCUCGAAAGCAUGGGUAGCAAACAGGAUUAGAUACCCUGGUAGUCCAUGCCGUAAACGAUGAUUACUAGGUGUUGGAGGAUAGACCCUUUCAGUGCAGCAGUUAACACAAAUAAGUAAUCCACCUGGGGAGUACGACCGCAAGGUUGAAAUUCAAAGGAAUUGACGGGGGCCCGCACAAGCAGUGGAGUAUGUGGUUUAAUUUGAAGCAACGCGAAGAACCUUACCAGGUCUUGACAUCCGAUGCAUAGUGCAGAGAUGCAUGAAGUCCUUCGGGACAUCGAGACAGGUGGUGCAUGGUUGUCGUCAGCUCGUGUCGUGAGAUGUUGGGUUAAGUCCCGCAACGAGCGCAACCCUUAUUGCCAGUUACUACGAAAGAGGACUCUGGCGAGACUGCCGUUGACAAAACGGAGGAAGGUGGGGAUGACGUCAAAUCAUCGUGCCCUUUAUGACCUGGGCUACACACGUACUACAAUGGCGUUUAACAAAGAGAAGCAAGACCGCGAGGUGGAGCAAAACUCAAAAACAACGUCUCAGUUCAGAUUGCAGGCUGCAACUCGCCUGCAUGAAGUCGGAAUUGCUAGUAAUCGCGGAUCAGCAUGCCGCGGUGAAUACGUUCCCGGGCCUUGUACUCACCGCCCGUCA
RNAcentral lists this ribosomal RNA (1373 nucleotides) under uncultured bacterium. Its description in RNAcentral is "bacterial SSU rRNA". It matches the Rfam family "Bacterial small subunit ribosomal RNA". The record is from RNAcentral.